GGCAGAGCACAGACUGUAAAGAAAGGAGCCGAGGAGGUGGGCGAAUCUCUGCAGCCUGGAAGGGGAGGCAGAACCCAGAACCAAAGCCACCGCUGAGCACUGCGACGGUGCCCUGCCCACGUCUUGAGGCAGGAAUUGAGUGUCAGCUGCUACCCACACCACAAAAGCACCCUGCUUCCAUGUGGAGUCCGAGGUAGAUACAAAUGAUGCCAGCAAGGAUUUGACUCACGAGCUCUCCAGUUUCGUCUUGCAGACUUUGAAGCACCUUGCACAAGUAAAAGGAGAUGCGUGUAAGGGGGAAGCCGUCUCUUUACCUAGAAGGCCUUCAGCACUGUGACACAGCAUGCCUCAGGUGCCAAGUUCACCGUCACCACCACUUUGCCACUGCUGCCACUACGAUCUCCGUCACCACUGCCAGCAUGACCACAGCUACAACUAAUCUUUAAAGCACUAAAAUAAAUACUUCACUCUAUUGGAAUAUCAUAUUAAAGAUUUAUAAGCACCUUGCACAGUAUUAGGAGAA
Molecule: long non-coding RNA, 523 nt
Organism: Cavia porcellus (domestic guinea pig)
Lineage: Eukaryota; Metazoa; Chordata; Mammalia; Rodentia; Caviidae
Exons: 3
Source: RefSeq, a predicted model, not a curated record